This 402-nucleotide ribosomal RNA is filed under the name uncultured bacterium. RNAcentral describes it as "bacterial SSU rRNA". It matches the Rfam family "Bacterial small subunit ribosomal RNA", at positions 355 to 774 of the family's 1533-position model. The record is from RNAcentral.
UGGGGAAUCUUGCACAAUGGGGGCAACCCUGAUGCAGCGACGCCGCGUGAGCGAUGAAGCCCUUCGGGGCGUAAAGCUCUUUCGACCGGAACGAUAAUGACGGUACCGGGAGAAGAAGCUGCGGCUAACUACGUGCCAGCAGCCGCGGUAAUACGUAGGCAGCAAGCGUUGUUCGGAGUUACUGGGCGUAAAGAGUGCGUAGGCGGUUUUCUAAGUUCGGUGUGAAAUCUCCCGGCUUAACUGGGAGGGUGCGCCGAAGACUGGGAAGCUGGAGUGUGGGAAAGGCAGGCGGAAUUCCUGGUGUAGCGGUGAAAUGAGUAGAUAUCAGGAGGAACACCGGCGGUGUAGACGGCUUGCUAGACCAUAACUGACGCUGAGGCACGAAAGCGUGGGUAGCAAACA